AUACGGAGGGUGCAAGCGUUGUUCGGAAUUACUGGGCGUAAAGCGCGCGCAGGCGGUCUAGUAAGCAGUGGGUGAAAUUCCAGGGCUCAACCCUGGGGCUGCUCGCUGAACUGCUAGACUAGAGUACGGGAGAGGGCAGUGGAAUUCCUGGUGUAGCGGUGGAAUGCGUAAAUAUCAGGAAGAACACCCGUGGCGAAGGCUGCUGCCUGGAACGUUACUGACGCUGAGGCGCGAAAGCUAGGGGAGCGAACGGGAUUAGAAACCCCAGUAGUCC
This 274-nucleotide ribosomal RNA is filed under the name uncultured bacterium. RNAcentral describes it as "partial 16S ribosomal RNA". It matches the Rfam family "Bacterial small subunit ribosomal RNA", at positions 523 to 796 of the family's 1533-position model. The record is from RNAcentral.